Long non-coding RNA from Magnolia sinica, 1069 nucleotides. RefSeq lists it as uncharacterized. The record is from RefSeq and is a predicted model, not a curated record. The transcript is spliced from 8 exons. Lineage: Eukaryota; Viridiplantae; Streptophyta; Magnoliopsida; Magnoliales; Magnoliaceae.
UGUUCCCUUUCAAAUGUGGACUGUUGGUUGUCAUUAACCAUAUCAUUGGCAUGCUAUGGUCAUCUGGUAACCAUUGAGAAAAUUUCUAGCUUGAUGUGACUUCAAGAUUAACACCCAUUGUUUUUCUGUAAUUCUCCUAGUCCAUUGAUGGGAACAUGAGGAAAUCACAAACAAAGAAGCAAGAUCUUGACUCCUGACAAGCAGCUAGAGCAGGAAGAUGCGUCAGCUUCAAAUGUUAAUAAGGAAAGCAAGGAGGAUCCAACAAAUGAAGUAAAAGAAAAGGGACCAGAGGAGAAGGUUGACUCGAAACUGUGGGUUGGGGUGUAUGUUGGGUUUAAAGUUCAGAAACUUUCUGCCAGUGACAAUGAUGACCUUUGCACAAUAUGUGCAUAUUUUGGAGAUCUUCUGCUUUGUGAUGGAUGCCCCAGGGCCUUUCACCAGGGUGCGUGUUUACAAAGAGCCAUCACUCACAAUUCCUGAAACUCCGGGAAUUGUGCAUCAUGGGAUUUUGAACAACAAAAGGCAGAAGGCAGGUCUUGACUAAGUAUGAGGAGUAGCUCGAGCUAUUGGUGAGGAUCAUAUGAUAUGGUGAUGGAAAACAAACACGAAGCUUUCAAUAUUUUUCUGAUAUGGUGCUUUUCAAGCUGGUUGUGAUAACAGUGUUUGUAAUUAUAGAGUCUUUAGACAACUGCAUAAAGACGGUUGGCUUUGGGACCUACAGUAAACGUGCAUCACUGGGACCUAUAGUAAAUGUGCCACUAUGAAGAAAACACCACAACUAGACAAUUUUAGUAGUUAGUGGGACCCACACAUCAGCAGGUGAAUGGUAAAUGGUACCUUUUAUUAUGGAUCACCCCUAGACUAAAGACCUGAUACCUUUUGUUGUUGUAAGUUCCUAAUUAGUUUGUUUCUGCAUUGCGUUGGAGCUAUUCGGAUGUUGAGCGAGGGUCCCUGGAAGGUGGGAACCGCUGUUAUAACUAUGAUGAAGCUGUCCAUUUCCUAUAGACAACAAUAUGGGUGGCCUGGCCAUUUGGAUAGGCCCGUGUUUAUGUAUUAUCUCGAAAUUAAU